RNAcentral lists this ribosomal RNA (377 nucleotides) under Pseudomonas sp. DJ4. RNAcentral's name for it is "bacterial SSU rRNA". It matches the Rfam family "Bacterial small subunit ribosomal RNA", at positions 52 to 431 of the family's 1533-position model. The record is from RNAcentral. Lineage: Bacteria; Pseudomonadati; Pseudomonadota; Gammaproteobacteria; Pseudomonadales; Pseudomonadaceae.
CACAUGCAAGUCGAGCGGUAGAGAGAAGCUUGCUUCUCUUGAGAGCGGCGGACGGGUGAGUAAUGCCUAGGAAUCUGCCUGGUAGUGGGGGAUAACGUUCGGAAACGGACGCUAAUACCGCAUACGUCCUACGGGAGAAAGCAGGGGACCUUCGGGCCUUGCGCUAUCAGAUGAGCCUAGGUCGGAUUAGCUAGUUGGUGAGGUAAUGGCUCACCAAGGCGACGAUCCGUAACUGGUCUGAGAGGAUGAUCAGUCACACUGGAACUGAGACACGGUCCAGACUCCUACGGGAGGCAGCAGUGGGGAAUAUUGGACAAUGGGCGAAAGCCUGAUCCAGCCAUGCCGCGUGUGUGAAGAAGGUCUUCGGAUUGUAAAGC